Molecule: ribosomal RNA, 374 nt
Filed under: uncultured eukaryote
Lineage: Eukaryota
Description: partial 18S ribosomal RNA
Rfam family: Eukaryotic small subunit ribosomal RNA
Source: RNAcentral
CAAGAGCGUAUGUAAAAGUUGUUGCAGUUAAAAAGCUCGUAGUUGAACCUUGGGUUUGGUUGGCCGGUCCGCUUUUUUGCGAGUACUGGAUUCAACCGAGCCUUUCCUUCUGGCUAACCAGUCGUUUCGGCGGCUGGCGAACCAGGAUUUUUACUUUGAGAAAAUUAGAGUGUUCAAAGCAGGCAUUAGCUUGAAUAUAUUAGCAUGGAGUAAUAGAAUAGGACGUUAUGGUUCUAUUUUGUUGGUUUCUAGGACCAUCGUAAUGAUUAAUAGGGACGGUCGGGGGCAUCAGUAUUCAGUUGUCAGAGGUGAAAUUCUUGGAUUUACUGAAGACUAACUACUGCGAAAGCAUUUGCCAAGGACGUUUUCAUUAA